RNAcentral lists this ribosomal RNA (524 nucleotides) under uncultured bacterium. RNAcentral's name for it is "partial 16S ribosomal RNA". It matches the Rfam family "Bacterial small subunit ribosomal RNA", at positions 28 to 523 of the family's 1533-position model. The record is from RNAcentral.
GACGAACGCUGGCGGCGUGCCUAAUACAUGCAAGUCGAACGAAGCUGUUUUAACUGGUGCUUGCACCGACUUAAACAACUGAGUGGCGAACGGGUGAGUAACACGUGGGUAACCUGCCCCAAAGCGGGGGAUAACAUCUGGAAACAGAUGCUAAUACCGCAAAAUCACAGAAACCACAUGGUUUCUGUGUCAAAGAUGGUUUCGGCUAUCACUUUCGGAUGGACCCGCGGCGUAUUAGCUAGUUGGUAAGGUAAUGGCUUACCAAGGCAAUGAUACGUAGCCGAACUGAGAGGUUGAUCGGCCACAUUGGGACUGAGACACGGCCCAAACUCCUACGGGAGGCAGCAGUAGGGAAUCUUCCACAAUGGACGAAAGUCUGAUGGAGCAACGCCGCGUGAGUGAAGAAGGUUUUCGGAUCGUAAAACUCUGUUGUCAGAGAAGAACGUGUGCGAGAGUAACUGUUCGUGCAGUGACGGUAUCUGGCCAGAAAGCCACGGCUAACUACGUGCCAGCCGCCGCCGUAA